Molecule: ribosomal RNA, 254 nt
Filed under: uncultured bacterium
Lineage: Bacteria
Description: partial 16S ribosomal RNA
Rfam family: Bacterial small subunit ribosomal RNA
Source: RNAcentral
UACGGAGGGUGCAAGCGUUAUCCGGAUUCACUGGGUUUAAAGGGUGCGUAGGAGGGCAGGUAAGUCAGUGGUGAAAUCUCCAAGCUUAACUUGGAACUGCCGUUGAUACUAUCUGUCUUGAAUACCGUGGAGGUGAGCGGAAUAUGUCAUGUAGCGGUGAAAUGCUUAGAUAUGACAUAGAACACCAAUUGCGAAGGCAGCUCGCUACACGAAUAUUGACUCUGAGGCACGAAAGCGUGGGGAGUCAAACAGGA